AUUGUACUCCCUUCAUCGGGAAAUACUUGUCGCGGAAAUGGGUAUAAAUAGAUGCAUCUAAAACUAAAAAACAUCUACAUACAUCCAUUCCUCCGACAAGUAUUUUCGGACGGAGGGAGUACCUG
Non-coding RNA from Triticum aestivum (bread wheat), 125 nucleotides. The record is from Rfam. NCBI's taxonomy places the organism in Eukaryota, Viridiplantae, Streptophyta, Magnoliopsida, Poales, Poaceae.